AAACUUUCAACAAUGGAUCUCUUGGCUCUGGUAUCGAUGAAGAACGCAGCAAAACGCGAUAGGUAAUGUGAAUUGCAGAACUCAGUGAGACAUUGAAUUUUUGAACGCACAUUGCGCCUUUUAGUAUUCUAGGAGGCAUGCCUGUACGAGCGUG
Molecule: ribosomal RNA, 154 nt
Filed under: Camarotella licaniae
Lineage: Eukaryota; Fungi; Ascomycota; Sordariomycetes; Phyllachorales; Phyllachoraceae
Description: 5.8S ribosomal RNA
Rfam family: 5.8S ribosomal RNA
About the family: 5.8S ribosomal RNA (5.8S rRNA) is a component of the large subunit of the eukaryotic ribosome.
Source: RNAcentral